This 445-nucleotide ribosomal RNA is filed under the name uncultured bacterium. Its description in RNAcentral is "partial 16S ribosomal RNA". It matches the Rfam family "Bacterial small subunit ribosomal RNA", at positions 354 to 796 of the family's 1533-position model. The record is from RNAcentral.
GUGAGGAAUAUUGGUCAAUGGGCGAGAGCCUGAACCAGCCAAGUCGCGUGAAGGAAGAAGGAUCUAUGGUUCGUAAACUUCUUUUGCAGGGGAAUAAAGUGCAGGACGUGUCCUGUUUUGUAUGUACCCUGAGAAUAAGGAUCGGCUAACUCCGUGCCAGCAGCCGCGGUAAUACGGAGGAUCCGAGCGUUAUCCGGAUUUAUUGGGUUUAAAGGGUGCGUAGGUGGUUUGAUAAGUCAGCGGUGAAAGUUUGCAGCUUAACUGUAAAAAUGCCGUUGAAACUGUCGGACUUGAGUGUAAAUGAGGUAGGCGGAAUGCGUGGUGUAGCGGUGAAAUGCAUAGAUAUCACGCAGAACUCCGAUUGCGAAGGCAGCUUACUAAGCUACAACUGACACUGAGGCUCGAAAGUGUGGGUAUCAAACAGGAUUAGAUACCCCUGUAGUCC